AGUGAACGCUGGCGGUAGGCCUAACACAUGCAAGUCGAACGGCAGCACAGUAAGAGCUUGCUCCUACGGGUGGCGAGUGGCGGGCGGGUGAGGAAUACAUCGGAAUCUACUUUUUCGUGGGGGAUAACGUAGGGAAACUUACGCUAAUACCGCAUACGACCUACGGGUGAAAGCAGGGGAUCUUCGGACCUUGCGCGAUUGAAUGAGCCGAUGUCGGAUUAGCUAGUUGGCGGGGUAAAGGCCCACCAAGGCGACGAUCCGUAGCUGGUCUGAGAGGAUGAUCAGCCACACUGGAACUGAGACACGGUCCAGACCCCUACGGGAGGCAGCAGUGGGGAAUAUUGGACAAUGGGCGCAAGCCUGAUCCAGCCAUACCGCGUGGGUGAAGAAGGCCUUCGGGUUGUAAAGCCCUUUUGUUGGGAAAGAAAAGCAGCAGGUUAAUACCCCGCUGUUCUGACGGUACCCAAAGAAUAAGCACCGGCUAACUUCGUG
Molecule: ribosomal RNA, 492 nt
Filed under: uncultured bacterium
Lineage: Bacteria
Description: partial 16S ribosomal RNA
Rfam family: Bacterial small subunit ribosomal RNA
Source: RNAcentral